Molecule: ribosomal RNA, 477 nt
Filed under: uncultured anaerobic ammonium-oxidizing bacterium
Lineage: Bacteria
Description: bacterial SSU rRNA
Rfam family: Bacterial small subunit ribosomal RNA
Source: RNAcentral
UUCGCAAUGCCCGAAAGGGUGACGAAGCGACGCCGCGUGCGGGAAGAAGGCCUUCGGGUUGUAAACCGCUGUCGGGAGUUAGGAAAUGCAAGGAUGUUAAUAGCGUCUUUGCUUGACUAAGGCUCCGGAGGAAGCCACGGCUAACUCUGUGCCAGCAGUCGCGGUAAUACAGAGGCGGCAAGCGUUGUUCGGAAUUAUUGGGCGUAAAGAGCACGUAGGCGGCCGUGUAAGUCGGUUGUGAAAGCCUUCCGCUCAACGGGAGAACGGCAUCCGAUACUGCAUGGCUCGAGUGCGGGAGGGGAGAGUGGAACUUCUGGUGGAGCGGUGAAAUGCGUAGAUAUCAGAAGGAACACCGGCGGCGAAGGCGACUCUCUGGCCCGUAACUGACGCUGAGUGUGCGAAAGCUAGGGGAGCAAACGGGAUUAGAUACCCCGGUAGUCCUAGCCGUAAACGAUGGGCACUAAGUAGAGGGGUUUU